Molecule: ribosomal RNA, 112 nt
Filed under: Salmonella enterica subsp. enterica serovar Rissen
Lineage: Bacteria; Pseudomonadati; Pseudomonadota; Gammaproteobacteria; Enterobacterales; Enterobacteriaceae
Source: RNAcentral
GCGGCCGUAGCGCGGUGGUCCCACCUGACCCCAUGCCGAACUCAGAAGUGAAACGCCGUAGCGCCGAUGGUAGUGUGGGGUUUCCCCAUGCGAGAGUAGGGAACUGCCAGGC